RNAcentral lists this ribosomal RNA (433 nucleotides) under uncultured bacterium. RNAcentral describes it as "partial 16S ribosomal RNA". It matches the Rfam family "Bacterial small subunit ribosomal RNA", at positions 29 to 507 of the family's 1533-position model. The record is from RNAcentral.
AACGAACGCUGGCGGCAUGCCUAACACAUGCAAGUCGAACGAAACCUUCGGGUCUUGGGGCGCACGUGUGCUUAACGCGUGGGAACCUGCCCGUAGGUUCGGUAUAACUCCCCUAAAGGUAUGCUAAGAACGGUUAAUGUCUUCGGGGCAAGGAGUUAUCGCCGUUGGAUGGGCCCUCGUAGGAUUAGCUAGUUGGUAGGGGAAAAGCCUAACAAGGAGACGAUCCUGGGCUGGUCUGAUAAGAUGGUCAUGCACACUGGGACUGAGACACGGCCCAGACUCCUACGGGAGGCAGCAGUGGGGAAUAUUGGACAAUGAGCCCAAGCCUGAUCCAGCCAUGCCGCGUGAGUGAUGAAGGCGUUAGGGUUGUAAAUCCCUCUUAACCGGGAUGAUAAUGACAGUACCGGGAGAAUAAGCUCCGGCUAACUCCGUG